RNAcentral lists this ribosomal RNA (305 nucleotides) under uncultured bacterium. Its description in RNAcentral is "bacterial SSU rRNA". It matches the Rfam family "Bacterial small subunit ribosomal RNA", at positions 338 to 660 of the family's 1533-position model. The record is from RNAcentral.
CCUACGGGAGGCAGCAGUGGGGAAUAUUGCACAAUGGGGGGAACCCUGAUGCAGCGACGCCGCGUGAAGGACGAAGUAUUUCGGUACGUAAAGCUCUAUCAGCAGGGAAGAAAAUGACGGUACCUGACUAAGAAGCCCCGGCUAACUACGUGCCAGCAGCCGCGGUAAUACGUAGGGGGCAAGCGUUAUCCGGAUUUACUGGGUGUAAAGGGAGCGUAGACGGAAUUGCAAGUCUGAUGUGAAAAUCCGGGGCCCAACCCCGGAAGUGCAUUGGAAACUGUAUUUCUAGAGUGUCGGAGAGGCAA